UACGAAGGGGGCUAGCGUUGCUCGGAAUCACUGGGCGUAAAGCGCACGUAGGCGGAUUGCUAAGUCAGGGGUGAAAUCCUGGAGCUCAACUCCAGAACUGCCUUUGAUACUGGCAACCUUGAGUCCGGGAGAGGUGAGUGGAACUGCGAGUGUAGAGGUGAAAUUCGUAGAUAUUCGCAAGAACACCAGUGGCGAAGGCGGCUCACUGGCCCGGUACUGACGCUGAGGUGCGAAAGCCAGGGGAGCAAACGGG
RNAcentral lists this ribosomal RNA (253 nucleotides) under uncultured bacterium. Its description in RNAcentral is "partial 16S ribosomal RNA". It matches the Rfam family "Bacterial small subunit ribosomal RNA", at positions 524 to 776 of the family's 1533-position model. The record is from RNAcentral.